GAUGAACGCUGGCGGCGUGCCUAACACAUGCAAGUCGAGCGAUUCUCUUCGGAGAAGAGCGGCGGACGGGUGAGUAACGCGUGGGUAACCUGCCCUGUACACACGGAUAACAUACCGAAAGGUAUGCUAAUACGGGCUAAUAUACUUUUAUCGCAUGGUAGAAGUAUCAAAGCUCCGGCGGUACAGGAUUGACCCGCGUCUGAUUAGCUAGUUGGUAAGGUAACGGCUUACCAAGGCGACGAUCAGUAGCCGACCUGCGAGGGUGAUCGGCCACAUUGGAACUGAGACACGGUCCAAACUCCUACGGGAGGCAGCAGUGGGGAAUAUUGCACAAUGGGCGAAAGCCUGAUGCAGCAACGCCGCGUGAGCGAUGAAGGCCUUCGGGUCGUAAAGCUCUGUCCUCAAGGAAGAUAAUGACGGUACUUGAGGAGGAAGCCCCGGCUAACUACGUGCCAGCCGCCGCAGUAA
Molecule: ribosomal RNA, 468 nt
Filed under: uncultured bacterium
Lineage: Bacteria
Description: partial 16S ribosomal RNA
Rfam family: Bacterial small subunit ribosomal RNA
Source: RNAcentral